AUCAGCCGCAAACAGUAGGUAAGGCCCCACACACAGGCCAUCGGAAAGCCCCAGCCCUGAGCCUUCCUGUAGGCAAGUAUUUUGGGGACCUGUAGUUGCCAAGCAACGGCUCCAGGUUGCCAUGGGAACUCUCCUUUCUUCUGGGGCUUAUCUCUUUUAGCGAGAUGCCCUCGCCUCUCUACCUCCUCACCCUGACUUGGCUGCCAGGGGGAGACAUGGCGGUCCCAUAAACUGAUUCUCCCACCCCUGGGAGACCACCCACCCGUGACCCUAAGAGAAGACUCCUGAAGGUUCAAAACCCCAGAACUCUGAGAAAAUGCAGAGGACAGAGCCCAAGGCCUUCAUUAGAGCGGAGAGAGGACGAAAGGGGUUCAUUAGCUCUGUUUACGUCUCCACUCUCGCUGUUAACCACCACCCUGGGGCCGGCCCAGCCCUGAUCUUUGGAAGCUCAGGGUAAUUGGAAGGAAUUCGGCCCGACACCCAUGCCUGGCCCCUCCCAGGCUUGUCUGCACUGUAUGUAGGGACGUGCCCCCACCCCCGGCCGGCCGCUACCUCGCUGGGGGAGCCCCUUUGCCUGCCAGCGCCUUGGUUUCCCGUGAGCGUGGGUGGCAGCAGAGCCCAUCCUGCAGAUACGAGAUACCACAGCCCAAGGCCAGGCUCAGGGACAGCGCUCUGGGCUGGCUACCAUCACCAGGUACCGCCAGAGCGCAGGAUGGAGGUGCGGGAGUGCUUAUUCUACUGAGUGUGGCCCCGUGGCUAGUGUGCCACUGAUGGCAGAGCGGUCGCCAAAUCCAGGUCCCCAGGCUCCCAGCCCAAUGCCGUCCCCACUGGGCUUAUUGCUUAGCGUACACCCCUGUUCCUGCCUUCUUCCUCUGUGGCCUCGACGGCUCCGAUGAGAGCCAAGAUGCUCCAUGCAGGCCAGGUGCUCAGCUCUGAGCCCCUCGAUAAACACGUGUUCCGUGAAUUAAUCCGUGACAUACUGCUCAGGACUGGCAGCCACAGCCUUGGGAGAUUCCGACAUGCCCGAGGACCACAGCGAGAAACAGCCUUCACUUCCCAGGCCAGAGCCACACCGGGCACCUGGCGCCUUCCCACUGAUGCCCAGGGGAGCCCAGGGCCCUGCUCCUCAGUCCCAGAGGGUGCUCCCUGCUCUCUAUAAGAGGACAGGGCAGAGCCCCACCAGACGGGCAGUGGGGGAGAUCAGGCAGCAUCGCCCUCUCAUCUGGCCUAUCUCUGGGGAAGGGACCCCUCACGCUUCCACCUGCACGGACGGCCUACCCAUCCCCAUGGCUGCCUUCCGUGUUCUCUCAGCACCUAAGGCAUGUGGCCACCCGCCUGAAGUAAUGGGAGAGCUGUCUGGAAGCCACCGGUGUAAUUGUAGCUGCAGGGCCCCUGCAAGUGGCUGAGAAGGGGCGGCUCAGCUUGCAGGUGAAACAGGAAACACAAAACUAAGUCCAUGCAGGCUUGGCCCUGCCGGGCUCCCUGGCCACCCAUCCGGGUUGCCACCCAGUCACUACCCCACGGUCCCGCCUUUUUUGAUUUCCCCCACUGUGUGUCACCCCUGAAAUGACUGUGCUCUGUGUUUACAAGUGAUUGUCGUCUCCUCGCAACUGGAAGGUGAGACCUUUGUCUCCGCGCUGCGGCCGCUCAGAGCAGCUCCCCGGCGGCCACAGGGAGGGCGCAGCGCCACCUGCUGGUGAUGCGCCAGGAGGAGCCCCGCUGGGGAACCGGGCUGUCCCUGAUGGCGCACCCCCCAGGCUGUGCUCACACCCCACAGGCCUGAGCUGGGGGCCAAGCCCCCAAGACCUCCUCAGACCCCAAUUGCUACCUCUAUCCCUGUGGGCUUUGGGGGUAGAAUGCCCCUGCUGUGGGUUGAAUUGUCCCCCUAAAAGCUACACUGACGUCCCAACCUCUUGCAUCCGUGAGUAAGACCUUAUUUGGACUCAGGGUCUUUGCAGAUGUAAUCAAGUUAAGAUGAGGUCAUGCUGGAGUAGGGAGGGCCCUAAUCAAAUGUCCUUAUAAGAGGAAAAAUUGGACACAGACACACAGAGGAGGCCACGUGCAGCUGGAAGCGGAGUUUGGAGUGAUGCGACUACAAGACAAGGAACGCUAGGAUUGCUGGCAAACAUGAGAAACUGGAAGAGGCAAGAAGGACCCCACCCCGACCCCCAGAGCCUUCAGAGAGCAUAGUGCUGCAUAACACCUUGACUUUGGACCCCAGGCCUCCAGAUCAAGUUUUGCUGUUUUGGGCCCGCACAGUUUGUAGCACUUGGUUACAGCAGCUACAGGGCACAAAUACACGGCCCCCCCACAGUGGACCAAGCUCCACAUCUGUUGCCCUGGCCAAGGGCAGCCAAGCCAGAGCUCCAGGCAGAAUCCAGGGGACCUGACAACGAUGCAGGUGACCGGGGCAGGGAGGGUGGAGCACAGGUGAGCGCUCAGGAGACACCAGAUGCCUCCUCUCCAGUAUCACGCCUCCUCUCCCCAAUCAACUCUGACCACAGGACACUUCCUUCCAGAAUAUCUCUCUGCAUCCACCCACUGCCCAGAUGAGUCCUGCCAAUAAGCUGUGAAUGAUCUCAGGGACAGACCCCACCCUGCCCGAGCCUCAGUUUGAGACCACAGCCCAGCCUCCCAGGAGACCUUGAGGCAGAGGCUCCCAGCUGUGCUGAGCCUGCGUCCUGGUCACAGACACUGUGAGGUGGUCAGUGAUCUCAUAAAUGCUAGGUUAGGGGAACGCCGCCAUGCAGCAUAGAUGGGGCAUCCCUGCAGGUCUGACCUUGUACCCCCCUCCCGCCCUCCUCUCCCCCCCAGCUCCCCAGCCACACUGGCUCCUGUCUCACCUGCUCUCUGCCCAAAGUCUCUUCUGUCUCAGCACCUUUGAUCUUCCCCCAGGCACCCUUCUUGGUGUAUAUAGGGCCGGCGCCUCUUGGCUUUCGGGUCACAGCAUCAGUGUCACCAUGGAGACCUUGUAGACCCCCUAGGGGCUUCUAGCCCGCCCUCCAGGACCCCUACUCCAUUCCUUAGAGAGAAUUGCUCUCCUCGCUCCCAUGGAUUUGCUUUUCUGCUUUUGUUCAUCUGCCCCUCCAAGCUGUGAAUCCUGGUGAGUGUCCCGGGCACAGUAGCUGAAUGACCAAUAGCGGGUCUCAGAGCCCCCUCCUGCCUCUGAGUAGAUCAUAUUGUGGACAUGGAGGCUAAUAAUAAAAGAUGCUUGUUGGGUCAGAGGCAGGGGGACGCUCAGAAUGACCCCUGGGUGUCCCUUCCCUGUUCUGGUUGCUCCAUUGAGCACCGUAGGCACAGCCCGCCCCCUGGUGGUCAUCCCUAGCACUGCAGCCCGAGGCAGGAAACCAGAAAACAAAACACACACCUUUGUUUGGAUGUAGUCAAGGCAGCGGCUCUCCCUCCCCCAGAAGGGCAAAGGAGCAAGACCUGCUGGGUCCAGAGGCGAUGCGAGGGGCCUUAGAAGCCUUUCUUGUCCCCCUGUUUCCCUCCACUGUCGUGGUGUCCAUUUCACUCACGAAGCCUCCUCACCCCAACCAGGGCAAUGACUCCACCCACCGCCAAAUGAGGACCUCCAGGCGCCAACAGAGACGGUUUUGCCCCAUCUCUGGACAAGUGGUUCCGUGCUCUGCCUCACUCUGCACCACUCAGGUCCCCAGUGCUUCAGCCGGCAGGCUGCUACGGGCUCCGAAGGAUCUCGAGAGUCAAAAGCAUUUUCCAAGGACUCAGCAGAGUGGGUCAUGGAUGGAGAGCCAAGGCCAACACAUUCUUCUGCAAGCCUGUGGGACCCUGGGGGCAUCCCACCUAUGCACCUGUCUACAGCGCAGGCUGUGACAUGGUCGUGCUGUGGGUUUGAACCCAGAUCAUUCUGACCCUGAAGGCUGUGCCUGUCCAGGAGCCCAGCAGGUGGCCUCUGUGCCCAGCCUCGGAGGGCCUCAGAGCAGUGGAGCGACCUGCCCAGUGUCCCAUAUGUGCUACAACAGACUCCAACCUGCGUUCUCUCAGCUGUCUCACAUUCAUUCAGUCAUUCAACAAACAUCAUGGAAUGCGCAAACCUGGCUGGCCACCAUCUACAUACCUCUUCAGGGUUUACCAAUCCAGGAACGGGGUGGAGAGGGGCAGAGCAUUAUAAAUGAUGACACAGGAAUAAAGACAUACAGGAAUGCUGAA
This is a long non-coding RNA of Phacochoerus africanus (Common warthog), 4170 nucleotides long. RefSeq lists it as uncharacterized. Lineage: Eukaryota; Metazoa; Chordata; Mammalia; Artiodactyla; Suidae. The record is from RefSeq and is a predicted model, not a curated record. The transcript is spliced from 3 exons.